AGAAUGAACGUUGGCGGCGUGGAUUAGGCAUGCAAGUCGUACGGGCCGCAAGGCCAGUGGCGCAAGGGUGAGUAAGGCGACGGUAACCAACCCCACGGGUGGGUAUAGCCGCGGGAAACUGCGGGUAAUCCCCAGCGAUGUCCAGAGGGGGGCAUCCCCCUCGGACCAAAGGUCCGCCGCCGUGGGACGGGCCGUUGUGGUAUUAGGUUGUUGGCGGGGUAACGGCCCACCAAGCCUGCGAUGCCUACCGGGCGUGCGAGCGUGGCCCGGCACACUGGGACUGAGACACUGCCCCAGACUCCUACGGGAGGCUGCAGUCGAGAAUCUUCGGCAAUGGGCGCAAGCCUGACCGAGCGACGCCGCGUGGAGGAUGAAGGCCUUCGGGUUGUAAACUCCUGUCGAGGGGGAGGAAGGCGCAAGCUUGACCGAUCCCUGGAGGAAGCACGGGCUAAGUUCGUGCCAGCAGCCGC
This 470-nucleotide ribosomal RNA is filed under the name uncultured bacterium. RNAcentral's name for it is "SSU rRNA". It matches the Rfam family "Bacterial small subunit ribosomal RNA", at positions 26 to 518 of the family's 1533-position model. The record is from RNAcentral.